CACUUACAGAACUGUCCCCAUACGUCUGUUGCAACAUCACACCAGGUCACUAGGAGACAUUUACUGGCUAUGUGGGGACUUGCAGUUAAGAUCCAGACUGGAGACUGACUGGUGGGGGGAGUGUACCUUGGCCAAGGUUAUCAUGCCCAUCCACAUUAUUUCUGACAAUCAUCCCGGCGCCCACGAUUCCCCACAGACGUUAG
Non-coding RNA from Pelobates cultripes (western spadefoot toad), 203 nucleotides. Lineage: Eukaryota; Metazoa; Chordata; Amphibia; Anura; Pelobatidae. The record is from the annotation of a GenBank genome assembly.